Molecule: non-coding RNA, 953 nt
Organism: Doryrhamphus excisus (bluestripe pipefish)
Lineage: Eukaryota; Metazoa; Chordata; Actinopteri; Syngnathiformes; Syngnathidae
Source: RefSeq, a predicted model, not a curated record
UCACGUUAGUCACCGAGGGCGUUGUUUAUCCAGCAUUAUGGACUAUUACACACCCAGAUUGCGGUUUGUCACAGUAAGGCCAACGCGAUCAUGUCAACCUUACCUCGGCACGCAGUUCGGGGAUGAUCGGUCAAUCUCCCAGGUCGCAAAAAGGUUCAUAGGAACGGGCAUGCCACCGGAGCCCGAGCCCAGGACCACAGCUCCGGCUAGGGCUCCGGCAGGGAGUGUUGUCGGUGCUGGUACACAACCGACACCGCUGUUUGGGCUCAGGAAAGCCGCCCGGGCGCCUCCUCCUCUCUCAACAGCCGCCGCCAUCAUCACCUCCACUGCCGAGGGAGCAGCUUUAGCUAAACGUCGGACGUACGCGGGAGUCUGUGAAGUGUGCGCUGCCUGCCCUGCUUCUCCAGACUCCCGAGUCCUCUCUACAGCCAGUGACCGAGAUGCUGAUAGUCUGGGCGGGGCAUGCCACUACAGGCGGGUGCCAGCGACCCACUGAAAACUGAAGACCCACUGCAUCACAUGCUAAGCUAACAGAACAAAACAUCAACAUCUUAACUUUGUGUGACAGUAUACUGAGGGCCUAUGAAAAAAAAGAGACCACUCACUUCGGCACCCCUGAUUAAGAUGUGGUCAAGUGGUGAACUGUCAAGACUUCAGCUCACCUGAAUUGUGAAGUGAAGUGUUAACAACAUUUCGUCAGUCCGUGACACAGUUACCAAGGUCAGCCAUUGUUCUGAGAAUGCCGGGUGUUGUGAAAGACAGCUGCAGAUGUCUUGACUUGACAUGUUCCUGAAGGGUGCAGUUUGUGACUAAUCACUUCAACCUAUUGACCGACAAGGUGAAAUGGAAAAAAAGCCUGUUGUGUAUUGCGGUCAGUUUGUGAUCUAAUAGCAUGAAAUCUAGCCUGAACACCUUUACUUCAUGCAGACUUAUACGAUAUAUUUGCUUUAUUU